RNAcentral lists this ribosomal RNA (305 nucleotides) under uncultured bacterium. RNAcentral describes it as "bacterial SSU rRNA". It matches the Rfam family "Bacterial small subunit ribosomal RNA", at positions 333 to 655 of the family's 1533-position model. The record is from RNAcentral.
AAUGCCCUACGGGGCGCAGCAGUGGGGAAUAUUGCACAAUGGGGGAAACCCUGAUGCAGCGACGCCGCGUGGGCGAUGGAGUACUUCGGUAUGUAAAGCCCUAUCAGCAGGGAAGAAAAUGACGGUACCUGACUAAGAAGCCCCGGCUAAAUACGUGCCAGCAGCCGCGGUAAUACGUAUGGGGCAAGCGUUAUCCGGAUUUACUGGGUGUAAAGGGAGCGUAGGCGGCCUGGCAAGCCUGAUGUGAAAUACCGGGGCCCAACCCCGGGGCUGCAUUGGGAACUGCCAGGCUGGAGUGCCGGAGG